GUUUGAGGACAGCUGUUCCUAAACACACUGUUAAGGCAUAACUGUCUGCUGUUCGAAACCGUUAAGAGAGCAUUGCUCGAAUAGUUCAAACCAUUUGAUUCUGGAGAGCACUGGAGGGAAGUGUUUACAUAGUGUCUUUCUGGGGCUUGUUAGCCAGGCCGUUGUGGAGAGAGCUGUGGGUCUGAACUCAAGUGCUUUUGGCAGUUGCCCACCCUAUUUGACUAGAUGUGGCUUAAUUAGGAUCAGACAAAACUUUGUAAACAAGUUAAGGUAGCUUUUGUGUUCCUUAUCAGGAGCUGAAGCAGGAAAUGAAAGAUCAAGAGGGAACCCAAGCAGAUACGCUAUUGUCUGGGACGCUGGUCUGGAAGUCUGAUCCUGCCCAUGGAGACACAAACGGCCCUCACUGUGGCUCCAGGGCCCCCACCCACACCAGGCAUUACACCAACACCAAAGGGUCAGGGUGAGCUGUAAAGUCAUUUAACGGGGUGCUGCAUGCGAGGGUGGUGUAAACCUGUGAACCCUGUGGCCCAGCUCAACGCUCCUGUUCCCAGACCAUUUGUUCACAAAUGCAAUCCCGCUUUCUCGUGGCAUGAGAGCUUCACCUUGAGACUGAGAAUAAGACGAUCAGCACACACACACACGCGACCAGCGAUGGCCGAUCUAAUGUUUGCCUGAAUGUGGCCUGUUUCGGCUCGGAGCACCUCUCUUCGGUUUAGGUUUCCUUUAGGGACUCGGCGAGACCCACAGCGUCAGACCCCAUUCAGUCUAUUGUUAAUCGAGAGCGUCUACAAUCAAAGUGUGGAGUGUUUGGGUCAGAAGCCUCGGCGAUUGAGGGCUACCCCGGGGGCAAGAGCGUGGCCCCCAGAGACACCGCACAGCUCUGAGGUUUCACCUGGGGACUCGAGCGCUUAGAGAUCUAAUGACCCACUCCAGAAAUAUUUGCUUGAUUGAGUGUGUGGUUGACUUUUCUCAUAUUGAUCCACAGGUGAGCUCUUCUGUUUCACUUAUAAACUACCAGCUCAUUUAUCAACCUUGUUCUGCAAUUAAAGUGAAAUUGUAGUAGUAGAUCAUUCAUUUGUUCGUUUGUUCCUCCAUCCGUCAAAAAUGGUAGCAUUGCAUGUCUGUUACCAUUAAGAUCAUUUGUAUGCUAGUGUACUUAACUUAACUUUAACAGGUAUAAAUAAAAAAGUAAAUAAAUGCACUGCCAUUCAAAAGUUUGGGAUCAGUAACAUUUUUAAAGAAG
This is a long non-coding RNA of Carassius auratus (goldfish), 1243 nucleotides long. RefSeq lists it as uncharacterized. The record is from RefSeq and is a predicted model, not a curated record. The transcript has 4 exons. Lineage: Eukaryota; Metazoa; Chordata; Actinopteri; Cypriniformes; Cyprinidae.